GACGAACGCUGGCGGCGUGCUUAACACAUGCAAGUCGAGCGGAGCGGCGAACGGGUGAGUAACGCGUGAGUAUCUGCCCCCCUCUCUGGGAUAACAGUUGGAAACGGCUGCUAAUACCGGUUAGUGGGGGAUGACGGGCGUCCAAUCAGCUUGUUGGUGGGGUAGUGGCCUACCAAGGGGACGCCGGUUGGCCGGCCUGAGAGGGCGACCGGCCACAGUGGGCUGAGAGACGGCCCCAAGUCCUACGGGAGGCAGCAGUGGGGAAUCUACCGAAAUAGGGGGACCCCGGAUGCAGAAAUCCGCGUGCGGGAUGACGGCCUUCGGGGUGUAAACCGCUUUCAGCCAUGACGCGGUAGUGGCAGAAGAAGCACCGGCUAACUACGUGCCAGCAGCCGCGGUAAUUC
This 404-nucleotide ribosomal RNA is filed under the name uncultured bacterium. Its description in RNAcentral is "partial 16S ribosomal RNA". It matches the Rfam family "Bacterial small subunit ribosomal RNA", at positions 28 to 526 of the family's 1533-position model. The record is from RNAcentral.